Molecule: long non-coding RNA, 1306 nt
Organism: Acipenser ruthenus (sterlet)
Lineage: Eukaryota; Metazoa; Chordata; Actinopteri; Acipenseriformes; Acipenseridae
Exons: 3
Source: RefSeq, a predicted model, not a curated record
CCACAAUUUCCAGCAGUCCUAGCUCAUCCAGAACAGAGACCUCAACAGUCUCCAGCCCAGGGUGCUCUUUUGCACAGAGUUGUAUCGAGUUGGAUGAAUCACUUUCAGCUUUGGAAGCUGACUGGUUCCUUCGGUUUGAGAUACCAUGGGAAAAACUCCCUACUGACCUCCUUUACAAGUUAGAAAGGCCAUCGCCAAAGCAACGCAGAGAAAUGAUACGACUCAUUAUUAAUGAAGUCACAGGGGUCUGCAAGAGGCCUUCAAAGAAACAUCUUACAGAUAUAGCAAGAAGAAUUGUGGCAAAAUAUCCUAAAUCUUUGCAGGAUGUUAUCGAAGGCCACAUAGUUGGCAGUGGAUAUGAUUCCUUGGUAAAACAGCUGCAGAGCAGAUAAUGUGACGCGUACACAGUUUUCUACCCCCAAAAGACAGUUUCAACACAGUAGUGGGAGCGACACGGAAGAAGUUCCUGCAAAGGAACAAGCUUUACCUCAAGACACUUAUGGUUGCAUAAACUGGGAUCCCGAGCACCUGCCAAUCACAGAGACACUUGCAAGUCAAAAACAGCAACAACAAGAAAUGAAAACCUACACUCAGAGAAAAGACAUCAUCUGAGGUAUGGAAACUGAAAAAAUAAGGAGGGAGUGGCCAUUUCUGUUUGAAAUGCCAGGAUUACAAGCACACUUCAGGGCACUUACAGGUGUACAAUUAGAAGGGAAAUUUUUUGAGACCGUAAAAAACAAAUCGCACAGAAUUCUGGCCUACAUGGACACUCAACAAUGAGAAACAAAGAAAAACUGCAAGAGUUUUGGCACAGAUCGAAGUUGCAAAGAAGGACACAGUCUAAAUUACCGGAGAUGCCAGGGUUGGUUUUGCUGCUGCUUGCUUACUUUGGUGAAGACGACAAGCAAAUGUUUUUCCAGGUGGAUGACACUUGCUUACCUUCUGAAGUGCCAACAUCUGAUCUGCCUGCAUCACCUUGCAUUAUUUUCUGUGGAGAUUCCCUUCUGACUGCAUCCCGCUUAAUGCUGAGCAUUGAUAAAGUUGUUGUUACAGAACAACAAACUAACUUUGUGGAAGCUUUGCUUAUGAUGUUUGCAUCCUACUACUGCUUGAACAUCCAUUACCCAUCAGAGUUGGGAGCAACACUUGAAUUCCUUCAAAGAUGCAUCUUCAAAAUAAAUCCAGACAAAGGGACGAAGGUCGAACGGAAGCCACAUAAGAGGCAAUAUGCUGUGAAUCCAAGAGUUCUUUCCCUCAUUUCUGCAAUUGCUAAUUUUGAAUGGAGAGAAUAAAAUGCAAUUGUUAU